Molecule: ribosomal RNA, 825 nt
Filed under: Triticum aestivum (bread wheat)
Lineage: Eukaryota; Viridiplantae; Streptophyta; Magnoliopsida; Poales; Poaceae
Description: partial small subunit ribosomal RNA
Source: RNAcentral
AUGUGCAUCCUCCAUAGAUUCGGUGACACCUCAGGCCCGCGGAUAAACCUUGCAAAAUCCACGACCACGCCGAUCCACUACAACAACAUCGACCUAGGGUGAGUUCUUCAAGCUUUCCGCGGCCCGAUCGCCCAUUUUCCGAUUAGAUACCUAGGUCUACCCCUCACGACGGGCCGGCUUCGACUAGUCCAUCUACAAUUCAUCCUCGACCGGAUCCGUGCCCGGCUGGCGGGUUGGAAGGGACGAAUGCUCUCCAUUGCGGGCAGGCGCAUCCUCGUGUGCUGCGUCCUCACUGCCCUACCAACCUUCGCUCUCACCGUGCUGCGAGUCCCCAUGAAGCUCCUGAAGGAAAUUGACAAAUGCAGACGAAGUUUUCUAUGGGGGAAGGACCGAGAGCUCUCUGGCGGCAGCUGCAAGGUCAACUGGGAACGAGUCUGCUCCUCAAUCGAGCAUGGCGGGCUCGGUGUACUAAACCUAUCAAAGUUCAGUCACGCGCUCCGGCUGCGUUGGCUCUGGCACAACUGGAAAACUGCCUCUCGCCACUGGGUGGGAACGGAGCCCCCGUGCGAUGCCUCAAACCAAGCACUGUUUAACGCCGCAAUGACGGUGACCAUUGGCAAUGGCAAGAUGGCGAGCUUCUGGCAUAGCUCAUGGCUAGGGCCAGUGCUGUUGAAGUUCUGCUUCGCAACCCUCUUCAAACAUUCAAGGCUCAAGGGCAGAACGCUGGCUCAGGCUAUUGCCGGAGAUCGAUGGGUCAUGGACCUGGUGCAUGGCAACACAAACGACCUAGUCAGCAAGGUUUUAAACCUGCAUCAUCUUAUUUAG